CCGAGGAGCUGUUUCGAAGUGAACGCAUUGACUAUUCUGCCUUGCUAGGAAUUUCAGAACCUACUGAUGAUUACGUUAACUGGAGGUCCUUGAAGCAGCACUGGGAGGAAAUGGAUGUUGCCAAGGAGGACGACCUUUACGAAACACUAGAACUUAGAAAGGAGAGGACAGAGGAGCCAGUAGAUGAAGAGGGAGAAGAGGACUAUUAUGCUGUUCCACCACCUAGGAGAGGUGUGUGUUUUUCUAGAAUUUUCUUUAAAGUACACAAUUUCUAUUCUAAGAAUCACUGUAGCAGUAUGAAACAUCUCAGAACUUUAUCUGCUAAAUCCAGGAGCCAUGUCUGAAUAGGCUCUCUGCUACACUUAUAUUCUGCUUUAUACCACACACACACACACACACACACAUAUACACAUUUUCUAAACCGCUUGUCAGCGUUUUUUUUUUCCCCUUUGUAAUUUAAUCUGUUUGGAAAGUAAAAUGGGAUGAAACAGUUUUUAUUCAAUUUUGGAGCUUUGCUUAUCCGCAGCCAACAGCAGUAACGUUGACGCGGCGGACAGAGCGUUGGCUGAAGACAUCUAUGACUACCCUCUCUCCUACAGGAACUCGGACAAGUCCGGGGUUCAAGGUAAGGGUUUGUUGCUCUCACAGCAGCCAGUCAGGUUCCCCUUUUCCAGCUGUUUCCAGGUGUUCUACUCGACUGGGAUGGAAUUUAGGACAGCUCUUGACUGACCUCGCAUUAUUCCAGUCUGACUGCCUGAUUCAAGAUCACGUUAAUUGUUUCUGUUAAAUUUCCCCAAAACACGUUCUGAGGAUUAUCCCCAAGGUGCAAUUGUCUUUUUUCAUUUAAUAACUGUUGCCUGCUAUUUCUUUUUGCUAAUAUCGCAGAAUAUCGGGAAUGCACAGAGAGCAUUUACGAUGUGCCACAGUCCUUACUGAAGAAAUUUUCUGAGCAAACCAUCGGUAAGCCUCCGUGCUUAGACUUUGAAUGAUUUUAUAAUAAGCCGCAGUAAUACUUGUGAAUAGAAUCAAAUGUUAGCGGGUGGUGGUAAUUUCUUGGAGGAUGCUUUUAUCCAAAAUAUUUUUUACAGUAGAAAAAAUUCAGACUUCAGAGGAGGAGUAAGAUUAUUUCACUAUAUGGAACUUGUUUGGAAGUUCAUGCAAAAAUAUGCACCCUCCUGCCCAGGCAGUAAGAUGUUUUAGAAACUUGUUAUUUGUAGUAAAUUGCUCACAAAUCAGUGAUGCGAUAUAUCAGUGUUUUAGUUCCAAGUGCUGCAGAAGAUUUUAAACUGAUAGACUCUUUGGCACCUUGGUCAUCCUGAGGAAGGAGGGGAGUCUGGGGUCCCCAGGAGUAAUAGCUGUCUCUUAUUACAGAGGUCCAGUCCGAUAGUCAGAGCUCGGCACACAGCGACGCUCUCGCCUACGAUGGAAUGUGGCGACUGAGAAGGGACUCGCUGGUCAGUUGGGCAGCUGAAGUCAAGGAAGGAUAACAGGUGCAGCGGGUUUGAGAUUGUCAUCUAAGAAGUAAUACUCUUUAUGAAAAUCUGAAAUGUUUUAAUGGAGUGUGAUUUGAAUUGAGGUCAUUGUGAGGAAAUUUUCUGCGAGUCGUGUAAUUUGCCAAAUGAGUGAAUGUAAAUGUAAAUUUGAGUAAUACAAUAUACCGAUGAAAUUGUAUAUUAUGAGUUUUUGUCAGGCAUGGUAGCAGAGUGGGUAGCACUGGUACCUCACGGCACCUUAGCUGUGUAUUAGUAUGUGGGUUUGAAUAUGAGUGCCUGUGCUGAGCUAGUAUGCGCUCCCCCUAUUCGCUCUGGUUUCCGACCACAGUUCAGAGAUGCGUCUCGGGUAGACUGGGGAGUGCAAGUUGCCCGAAGUAUGCGCACAGGUGGAUGUGUUAUAUUGCCCUGGUUUAUCAGUUACUGAAAGAUUGCAAGGAAUCUAGGGAAGUAUGUGUGCACAGUGUCUGCUCUGUACAAGUUAAUCACCUGCUAAAUGAAUAAAGGCACAUGUAUGUAAAUGUCUUGCA
Molecule: long non-coding RNA, 2020 nt
Organism: Scleropages formosus (Asian bonytongue)
Lineage: Eukaryota; Metazoa; Chordata; Actinopteri; Osteoglossiformes; Osteoglossidae
Source: Ensembl